UUACUUCACUCUCCUUGGCUGUUAAACCCCUGUCCUUUUUCUCUCCUCCUCUUUCCUUUCUCAUUUCCCUCAGUCAAUCUCCCUAUCUUCUCCUGAUUCACCUCACUCCAUUUACUCAGCCUUCUCCAUUUCAGCACCCUAAUGGCCUAAUUCCCAAAGUUCCCCUCCUUCUCUCUUCUAUAAAUCGCAUCAAUGGAUGAGGAAUCAAUUUAGAUUGUCUUUUGUACGAAUCAUGUUACUAAGAAGUUGACAUGGGGUGGUGAUGAUUCAGGGUCAAGAACAUCGCAGUUAUGGGUGGUUAUUUCUCUUUGAUAUUUUCAAGCCAAUUAGAUUGAAGAAAUUCGCUUCUUCGUUAAGAGAAAGCUAACAAACCAUAGUUUUCUGUCCUAUCAUUAGCUAAAUGAGUAUUACCGUCCAUCUCCAUUCAUUGGUUAUCUUCAAGUUAAGCUUUAAUAGCGGUUCAAUUCGAUUUUGAUAAUUUUUGUUUUUUAUUUGAUUUGGGGUGCGGCGUUUGUUGCAGGUAUAUCUCGUGAUUUUAUUCUCAAUAGGCGUGCCUUUAGGUGCAGGAGCAAGGCUUGGAGGAAGAAGUGAAAGAUGUGAUUGAUGGAAAACUAUGCGAAAAAUUUCCAACUUUACCUAUGGAUAUGCAGAGGAAGAUUGCAAAUGAAUUGCACAAAACUCCUGCAGAGAUUCUAUUGAAACUGGAUGAGAUUCAAAAUAAGAUUAUUUGAGGCAGAUGUUUUUUAGAAGGUAUAUAACAAUAUGCCUUUUUUUUAUGUAUCCUAUAUAUUAGUGCCACUUCAUUUUGAAAUAGGGAUAUUCUUAUCAUCUCCUAGUUGGGUGUUGUACCAGCUUGUGAUAUUUUUUUUUGUAGUAUAUAUAUAUUAUAAAUUAGUGCAGAUUUGAUUUGUUAGUCUAAA
Long non-coding RNA from Chenopodium quinoa (quinoa), 920 nucleotides. RefSeq lists it as uncharacterized. NCBI's taxonomy places the organism in Eukaryota, Viridiplantae, Streptophyta, Magnoliopsida, Caryophyllales, Amaranthaceae. The transcript has 2 exons. The record is from RefSeq and is a predicted model, not a curated record.